GAUGAACGCUGGCGGCGUGCUUAACACAUGCAAGUCGAACGGAAAGGCCCAAGCUUGCUUGGGUACUCGAGUGGCGAACGGGUGAGUAACACGUGGGUGAUCUGCCCUGCACUUCGGGAUAAGCCUGGGAAACUGGGUCUAAUACCGGAUAGGACCACAUUUUGGAUGGUGUGGUGGAAAGUUUUUCGGUGUGGGAUGAGCUCGCGGCCUAUCAGCUUGUUGGUGGGGUAAUGGCCUACCAAGGCGUCGACGGGUAGCCGGCCUGAGUGGGUGUACGGCCACAUUGGGACUGGGAUACGGCCCAGACUCCUACGGGAGGCAGCAGUGGGGAAUAUUGCACAAUGGGCGCAAGCCUGAUGCAGCGACGCCGCGUGGGGGAUGACGGCCUUCGGGUUGUAAACUCCUUUCGCUAGGGACGAAGCGUUAUGUGACGGUACCUGGAGAAGAAGCACCGGCUAACUACGUG
RNAcentral lists this ribosomal RNA (466 nucleotides) under uncultured bacterium. Its description in RNAcentral is "partial 16S ribosomal RNA". It matches the Rfam family "Bacterial small subunit ribosomal RNA", at positions 28 to 507 of the family's 1533-position model. The record is from RNAcentral.